Molecule: ribosomal RNA, 468 nt
Filed under: uncultured bacterium
Lineage: Bacteria
Description: partial 16S ribosomal RNA
Rfam family: Bacterial small subunit ribosomal RNA
Source: RNAcentral
GACGAACGCUGGCGGCGUGCUUAACACAUGCAAGUCGAACGGAAAGGCCCUGCUUUUGUGGGGUUCUCGAGUGGCGAACGGGUGAGUAACACGUGAGUAACCUGCCCUUGACUUUGGGGUAACUUCAGGAAACUGGGGCUAAUACCGGAUAGGAGCUCCUGCUGCGUGGUGGGGGUUGGAGAGUUUCGGCGGUUGGGGAUGGACUGGCGGCUUAUCAGCUUGUUGGUGGGGUAGUGGCUUACCAAGGCUUUGACGGGUAGCCGGCCUGAGAGGGUGACCGGCGACAUUGGUACUGAGAUACGGCCCAGACUCCUACGGGAGGCAGCAGUGGGGAAUAUUGCACAAUGGGCGGAAGUCUGAUGCAGCAACGCCGCGUGCGGGAUGCCGGCCUUCGGGUUGUAAACCGCUUUCGCCUGUGACGAAGCGUGAGUGACGGUAAUGGGUAAAGAAGCACCGGCUAACUACGUG